UCCUACGGGAGGUAGCAGUGGGGAAUAUAGCACAAUGGGCGCAAGCCUGAUGCAGCAACGCCGCGUGAGGGACGAAGGCCUUCGGGUUGUAAACCUCUUUUAGUAGGGAAGAAGCGACUGGGUUUUCCUGGGAGUGACGGUACCUGCAGAAAAAGCACCGGCUAACUACGUGCCAGCAGCCGCGGUAAUACGUAGGGUGCAAGCGUUGUCCGGUAUUAUUGGGCGUAAAGAGCUCGUAGGCGGUUUGUCGCGUCUGCUGUGAGAACCCGAGGCUCAACCUCGGGCCUGCAGUGGGUACGGGCAGACUAGAGUGCGGUAGGGGAGAUUGGAAUUCCUGGUGUAGCGGUGGAAUGCGCAGAUAUCAGGAGGAACACCAAUGGCGAAGGCAGAUCUCUGGGCCGUAACUGACGCUGAGGAGCGAAAGCAUGGGGAGCGAACAGGAUUAGAUACCCUGGUAGUCCAUGCCGUAAACGUUGGGAACUAGAUGUGGGGACCAUUCCACGGUCUCCGUGUCGCAGCUAACGCAUUAAGUUCCCCGCCUGGGGAGUACGGCCGCAAGGCUAAAACUCAAAGGAAUUGACGGGGGCCCGCACAAGCGGCGGAGCAUGCGGAUUAAUUCGAUGCAACGCGAAGAACCUUACCAAGGCUUGACAUAUACCGGAAACGGCUGGAAACAGUCGCCCCGCAAGGUCGGUAUACAGGUGGUGCAUGGUUGUCGUCAGCUCGUGUCGUGAGAUGUUGGGUUAAGUCCCGCAACGAGCGUAACCCUCGUCCUAUGUUGCCAGCACGUAAUGGUGGGAACUCAUGGGAUACUGCCGGGGUCAACUCGGAGGAAGGUGGGGAUGACGUCAAAUCAUCAUGCCCCUUAUGUCUUGGGCUUCACGCAUGCUACAAUGGCCGGUACAAAGGGCUGCGAUACCGCAAGGUGGAGCGAAUCCCAAAAAGCCGGUCUCAGUUCGGAUUGAGGUCUGCAACUCGACCUCAUGAAGUCGGAGUCGCUAGUAAUCGCAGAUCAGCAACGCUGCGGUGAAUACGUUCCCGGGCCUUGUACACACCGCC
RNAcentral lists this ribosomal RNA (1059 nucleotides) under uncultured Cryobacterium sp. RNAcentral's name for it is "bacterial SSU rRNA". It matches the Rfam family "Bacterial small subunit ribosomal RNA", at positions 337 to 1394 of the family's 1533-position model. The record is from RNAcentral. Lineage: Bacteria; Bacillati; Actinomycetota; Actinomycetes; Micrococcales; Microbacteriaceae.